GAUGAACGCUGGCUGUGUGCCUAAUACAUGCAUGUCGAGCGGAGUUCUUCGGAACUUAGCGGCGAAUGGGUGAGUAACACGUACUUAACGUGCCCCCUUGAUUGGGAUAACGCUGAGAAAUUAGCGCUAAUACCGGAUACUUAAAUAUCUCGCAUGAGGUAUUUAUAAAAGGAGCCUUUAAAGCUUCACAAGGGGAUCGGGGUGCGUAACAUUAGCUAGUUGGUGAGGUAAUAGCUCACCAAGGCGAUGAUGUUUAGCGGGGUUGAGAGACUGAUCCGCCACACUGGGACUGAGAUACGGCCCAGACUCCUACGGGAGGCAGCAGUAGGGAAUUUUCCACAAUGGGCGAAAGCCUGAUGGAGCGACACAGCGUGCAGGAUGAAGGCCUUCGGGUUGUAAACUGCUGUUAUAAGGGAAGAAAAAGUCGAGGAGGAAAUGCCUUGACCUUGACGGUACCUUAUCAGAAAGCAACGGCUAACUAUGUGCCAGCAGCCGCGGUAAUACAUAGGUUGCAAGCGUUAUCCGGAAUUAUUGGGCGUAAAGCGUCUGUAGGUUGUUUGUUAAGUCUGGUGUGAAAACUUGGGGCUCAACCCCAAAUUGCAUUGGAUACUGGCAAACUAGAAUUGUGUAGAGGUUAGCGGAAUUCCUUGUGAAGCGGUGGAAUGGCGUAGAUAUAAGGAAGAACAAUCAACAUGGCGAAGGCAGGCUAACUGRACACAUAUUGACACUGAGAGACGAAAGCGUGGGGAGGCAAACAGGAUUAGAUACCCUGGUAGUCCACGCCGUAAACGAUGAUGAUUAGCUGAUGGGGAACUCAUCGGCGCAGCUAACGCAUUAAAUCAUCCGCCUGAGUAGUAUGCUCGCAAGAGUGAAACUUAAAGGAAUUGACGGGGAUCCGCACAAGCGGUGGAGCAUGUGGUUUAAUUUGAAGAUACGCGUAGAACCUUACCCACUCUUGACAUCUUCUGCAAAGCUAUAGAGAUAUAGUGGAGGUUAACAGAAUGACAGAUGGUGCAUGGUUGUCGUCAGCUCGUGUCGUGAGAUGUUCGGUUAAGUCCUGCAACGAGCGCAACCCUUGUCCUUAGUUAAACGUUCUAGGGAGACUGCCCGGGUAACCGGGAGGAAGGUGGGGACGACGUCAAAUCAUCAUGCCUCUUACGAGUGGGGCAACACACGUGCUACAAUGGAUGGUACAAAGAGACGCAAUACGGCGACGUGGAGCAAAUCUCAAAAAACCAUUCUCAGUUCGGAUUGUAGUCUGCAACUCGACUACAUGAAGUCGGAAUCGCUAGUAAUCGUAGAUCAGCUACGCUACGGUGAAUACGUUCUCGGGUCUUGUACACACCGCCCGUCACACCAUGGGAGCUGGUAAUGCCCGAAGUCGGUUUUGUUAACUACGGAGACAACUGCCUAAGGCAGGACUGGUGACUGGGGUG
Molecule: ribosomal RNA, 1436 nt
Filed under: Mycoplasmopsis gallinacea
Lineage: Bacteria; Bacillati; Mycoplasmatota; Mycoplasmoidales; Metamycoplasmataceae
Description: Mycoplasma gallinaceum partial 16S ribosomal RNA
Rfam family: Bacterial small subunit ribosomal RNA
Source: RNAcentral